RNAcentral lists this ribosomal RNA (412 nucleotides) under Rhizophagus irregularis. RNAcentral describes it as "partial large subunit ribosomal RNA". Lineage: Eukaryota; Fungi; Glomeromycota; Glomeromycetes; Glomerales; Glomeraceae. The record is from RNAcentral.
AGAGUUAAACAGUACGUGAAAUUGUUGAAAGGGAAACGAUUGAAGCCAGUCGUACCGGUGGGUAAUCAGCCUUUUGGGCGUGAUUAUGUGGAGCGUGAGGAGCUAAACACCUUCAUGCCUGCGUAUUCGUGCACUUUGGGUGUACUUGCCCGCAUGGUUGGUUAACAUCAAUUUCGGAAGCCAUAAAAUGGUUGGAGGAAUGUGGCUUCGACCUCGGUUGAAGUGUUAUAGCCUUCAGCAGAUGUGGUGAUCGAGAUUGAGGAUUGCAACGGAUACCCUUCGGGGCUACCUGUCUGAUCUCUGAUCGUUACUCUGGUGCCGAAAGCGUGCUUACGGUCAUCAAAGUUGAUGGUCAACAGGUUAGAAUGGGUUAAAUUCGUUAAGGAUGUUGACGUAAUGGCUUUAAACGACC